CGUUUCAUCAGCCGAGCGCCCCCCCGGGACGCCGGAAGGAGCCUCCGCGCGGAGCCGACCACGUGCACGGCAUCUUGGGGCACGGGUUCCCGCCGUCUCCCCACUGUAAAGGAGCGGCUUACUCCAGAGGUCCAGCCCCCUCACACACAAUCACGGAACCCGUGGAUGAGGCAGUAUUUGAGACCAGAAGUUUAUUGGGGACUUGGGUUUGGUUUUUGUUUGGUUGGUUUUGUCGUUGUUUUUAGAGUCGGGGGUUUCGCUGUGUUGCCCAGGCUGCUAUCGGACUCCUGACCUCAAGCGAUCCUCUUGCUUGGCCUCCCAAAGUGUUGGGAUUACAGGCGUGAGCCACCGCACCUGGCCGGGGACUUGUUUCUAAUGGAAAAUUGUGUAUGUGCUGUAUUGUUAAGAGCAUUGGUUUGGGGUCAGACUAGGCUGUGAUUCGGGUCUCUCCACUUCUUAUUAUCGUCUUUGCUACCAGACACAUACUCACUCGUGUUCCCAAUUGCUAUACUCACAAGGGCUCACUCCCAUCGCCAUCCUUCGUAAUUUCAAAGGGUCUACGGUUAAAAAGACAGGGUUUCCCCCUGUUGCCCAGUCUGGCAUCGAUCACCUAAGCUCAAGCGAUCCACCCAUCUUGGCCUCCCAAAAUGCUAGGAUUAUAGGUGUCAGCCACUGCACCCGGCCGUAAGUUAUUUUCAAGUAGGAAAAAAAGGAGGCUGCCUGCUCCUUAACUCUUCAAGCCUACCCAUCCCUAUCAAUCAUCCCUUCAAACACAGUAAACUAUGGCUUUAAAUUCACAGCUGACCCAGGAGCCAGUGGCAUCUGAAAUUUUUUUAAAAGCCAGAGAAGAUCUAUGUUGACCUGAUGAUCUUUCACCUUCUAGAUCUCCCUGAACCACUGGCCAAAUCUUUCAAUAAAGAAUGUGCUUAACCUGCCUCUUAAGACCCAUGUAUUUGCACAAGAAGGAAAAAAAAAACCAGAAAAAAAAGCAAAACUAGAGCUGCCUGCCUGUGCUGAAGCUUUUUCAGUAAUUUCAGAGCCACUGAAGUGAUGUGAGAUCAGUUGACAAGAGAAAAACACUCUGAGAUCUGCCAGAAUGACCCUCAAGGGGAGAAAAAUAAUUAAACAGGUGGAAAAACAAGGAACACGCAAGACUGAUCAAAGCGUUUCUUUUCUGUUGAACAGCUUUUGCUGACUUCUGGUACCAUCAGUUUUCUUGAGUACAAUAAAGACCAACAAAUGCAGAAUGUUAGUUACGGGCCUUACUCAAUCAGGCUCAAAGGCUUUACUGGGGUUACAGGAAGCCAAGUACCCAGUCCACUAAUGUCCUGGGAGAAAAGCCUGAAGGCAGAGCAUGGUAGGUUUUCUCUUGCAGCCUGCAGGCUGAUCUGAUGGGACUUCAAUUCUGUCACUUCCUUGCUCUGUGACAUUGAACAUUCUGUAAGCCUCUGGGCCUCAGCUUUCUCAUCCAUGGAAGUGGGAUUACAGUGUCUAACCUGCAGGGCUGCUGUGUGUUUAUAUAUGUGCAUAGAACAUAAUGGCCUUCCCUUGAUAGAAGCAGAGAUUGGACAUGUGGCCUCUGACAAGUUACUUUUUUUUUUCUACAAGUUUCCCUCUCCUCUCCCCCAUUCAGAAAGUGGAAGGGGUAAUUCUUCAGGGAAUUUGUGAGAUGUUACCACAAGGUUACACAAUGGCUUGCUGUAAACUAUUUUAUGUCUUUUUUUUUUUUUUUUUUUUGAGACGGAGUCUUGCUCUGUCACUCAGGCUGGAGUGCAGUGGUGCGAUCUCGAUCUCAGCUCACUGCAACCUCCAACUCCCAGGCUCAAGCGAUUCUCAUGCCUCAGCAUCCUGAGUAGCUGGGACUACAGGUGCACACCACCACGCCCCAGUAAAUUUUUUGUAUUUUCAGUAGAGACAGGGUUUCGCUAUGUUGGCCAGGCUCGUCUCGAACUCCUGGCCUCAAAUGAUCCACCAGCCUCGGCCUCCCAAAGUGCUGGGAUUACAGGUGUGAGCCAUAUUUUAUGCCUUUUAUCAGGGCAUCCUCUGUAGGUUUACAUGACAUAAAAUUGCCCAGAGGGCAACUGAAGAGCAUCACUCUACAAUUUGGGAGAGGUAAAGGGAAAAGAAUCAGAUGGGUAAGAUACAUAAAAGGUAUAUAGCUAUGAAGUUGUUCAAUACUCAGUACACACCGUGGUUAAACACAGAUGCAAAAGCCGGAUUGCAAGUUUGAAUCUUGGCUCCAUCACUGCACAUCCUUGGGCUGGUUCCUUAACCUCUCUCAGUCUCAUAUCCCAUAAAAAAAAAAAAAGAAUUAAAUUAGUCAAUAUAAAUGUAAAAGUUCUUACAACUAGCUGGCACAUAGAAAGCUGUUAGCAGGCAGGGCAUGGUGGCUCACAUCCAUAAUCCCAGCACUUUGGG
This 2418-nucleotide long non-coding RNA is filed under the name Homo sapiens (human). Its description in RNAcentral is "HSALNT0154338". The record is from RNAcentral. Lineage: Eukaryota; Metazoa; Chordata; Mammalia; Primates; Hominidae.